RNAcentral lists this ribosomal RNA (301 nucleotides) under uncultured bacterium. Its description in RNAcentral is "partial 16S ribosomal RNA". It matches the Rfam family "Bacterial small subunit ribosomal RNA", at positions 509 to 809 of the family's 1533-position model. The record is from RNAcentral.
CAGUAGCCACGGUAAUACGGAGGGAGCUAGCGUUGUUCGGAAUUACUGGGCGUAAAGCGCGCGUAGGCGGUUACUCAAGUCAGAGGUGAAAGCCCGGGGCUCAACCCCGGAACUGCCUUUGAAACUAGGUAACUAGAAUCUUGGAGAGGUCAGUGGAAUUCCGAGUGUAGAGGUGAAAUUCGUGGAUAUUCGGAAGAACACCAGUGGCGAAGGCGACUGACUGGACAAGUAUUGACGCUGAGGUGCGAAAGCGUGGGGAGCAAACAGGAUUAGAGACCCCAGUAGUCCCUGUCUCUUAUAA